AGAAUAGAUUGUCUUGGGGUAGCUGAAUGUUUAAUUUAUAAUGAAUAGUCAAAAUUGUUUUUUUAAUUGAUUGUAAUAUUUUACACUAACUGGCAAUGUAUCAAUAAGAGUUCUAAUUUUUCCACAUCCUUUCGUAACUUAGUUUUGUUGGAUUUCUAGUUAAAAUCUUUUGGCUGGCCAGGUUGCUCACGCCUGUAAUCCCAGCACUUUGGGAGGCUGAGGUGAGUGGAUCACCUGAGGUCAGGAGUUUGAGACCAGCCCGACCAACAUGGUGAAACCCCUUCUCUACUAAAAAUACAAAAAUUAGCUGGGCACGGUCGUGGGCACCUGUAAUCCAAGCUACUCAGGAGGCCAAGGCAGGAGAAAUGCUUGAACCUGGGAGGCAGAGGUUGCAGUGAGCCGAGAUCGCGCCAUUGCACUCCAGCCUGGGCAACAAGAGCAAAACUCCAUCUCAACAACAACCACAAAAAUCUUUCUAGUAGAAAACAGAAAUACAUUAUGGAAUAGAAAGCAAAUUUCCAGGAAGUUUUAAAAUAAAAUAUGUGACUUCAAAGACACUUGUUUGUGCUGGGCUGCUUCAGACUCUGCCCUGGGUCUCCCUGAAGGCACACACAAUCUGCUAUGCUUUGGGGGACACGUUGAUGGAAAAAGAGAAAAUCUGCAACUGCAAUACAAUACCAAGAAUGGAAUUAUGUGGAACUCUACUGGUAUAGAUUUCAUCUUAGCAGGCUUUCAUAGUACUUUUCUGACCACGGUUUUCUGGAGUUUUUUCGUAUGGAGUUUGUAAGCUUCCUGACAUGGAUUAUAACUGUACUUGAUGGAGCACAGUUAUAAUAGCUGCUUUAGAGUCCUUGAUAAUUCCCACAUCUGAGUCAUCUCAAGUUAUUUUUGGCAGAUUUUGAUGGAUGUACAUUGAUGGAUAGCCACG
Molecule: long non-coding RNA, 928 nt
Organism: Homo sapiens (human)
Lineage: Eukaryota; Metazoa; Chordata; Mammalia; Primates; Hominidae
Source: Ensembl